CGGCCUCGGCGCGCUCGGCUCCGGCUCGGGGGUCCGGCACGGCGGUCUCGGUGCGCGGUCGCCGGGAGCACCCUCCCGCCCCCGGCUCGGCUUGGGGGUGGCCCCGUGCCUCCGCCGCCGAAGCAGCUAGCCGGUUUUUAAAUUGCUAAUCUCAUUAACGGCGCGCCCGUCGGAGAGGCGAGGCUGAAAGGACAAUGUCAUAUGGUUCAACCUAGCCCACUUAUAAGACUGAGAGACGCGAGGAAGACACCUAAGGCAAAGUAAAGGGAGUCUUGCUGCGACGCCCAGGCUGGAGAGCAACGGCAC
Molecule: non-coding RNA, 306 nt
Organism: Macaca mulatta (Rhesus monkey)
Lineage: Eukaryota; Metazoa; Chordata; Mammalia; Primates; Cercopithecidae
Source: RefSeq, a predicted model, not a curated record